GAUGAACGCUGGCGGCGUGCUUAACACAUGCAAGUCGAACGGUGAAGGCGGAGCUUGCUCUGCUGGAUCAGUGGCGAACGGGUGAGUAACACGUGAGCAAUCUGCCCCUGACUCUGGGAUAAGCGCUGGAAACGGCGUCUAAUACUGGAUACGAGCUGCGAAGGCAUCUUCAGCAGCUGGAAAGAACUUCGGUCAGGGAUGAGCUCGCGGCCUAUCAGCUUGUUGGUGAGGUAACAGCUCACCAAGGCGUCGACGGGUAGCCGGCCUGAGAGGGUGACCGGCCACACUGGGACUGAGACACGGCCCAGACUCCUACGGGAGGCAGCAGUGGGGAAUAUUGCACAAUGGGCGAAAGCCUGAUGCAGCAACGCCGCGUGAGGGACGACGGCCUUCGGGUUGUAAACCUCUUUUAGCAGGGAAGAAGCGAAAGUGACGGUACCUGCAGAAAAAGCGCCGGCUAACUACGUG
Molecule: ribosomal RNA, 468 nt
Filed under: uncultured bacterium
Lineage: Bacteria
Description: partial 16S ribosomal RNA
Rfam family: Bacterial small subunit ribosomal RNA
Source: RNAcentral